GGGUUGUGAGGUUAAGCGACUAAGCGUACACGGUGGAUGCCCUGGCAGUCAGAGGCGAUGAAGGACGUGCUAAUCUGCGAUAAGCGCCGGUAAGGUGAUAUGAACCGUUAUAACCGGCGAUUUCCGAAUGGGGAAACCCAGUGUGACUCGUCACACUAUCAUUAACUGAAUCCAUAGGUUAAUGAGGCGAACCGGGGGAACUGAAACAUCUAAGUACCCCGAGGAAAAGAAAUCAACCGAGAUUCCCCCAGUAGCGGCGAGCGAACGGGGAGGAGCCCAGAGCCUGAAUCAGCAUGUGUGUUAGUGGAAGCGUCUGGAAAGGCGCGCGAUACAGGGUGACAGCCCCGUACACAAAAGCGCAUGUGCUGUGAGCUCGAUGAGUAGGGCGGGACACGUGGUAUCCUGUCUGAAUAUGGGGGGACCAUCCUCCAAGGCUAAAUACUCCUGACUGACCGAUAGUGAACCAGUACCGUGAGGGAAAGGCGAAAAGAACCCCGGCGAGGGGAGUGAAAAAGAACCUGAAACCGUGUACGUACAAGCAGUGGGAGCCCCACCACUAAGCCAGUGG
Molecule: ribosomal RNA, 568 nt
Filed under: Salmonella enterica subsp. enterica serovar Javiana
Lineage: Bacteria; Pseudomonadati; Pseudomonadota; Gammaproteobacteria; Enterobacterales; Enterobacteriaceae
Description: partial 23S ribosomal RNA
Rfam family: Bacterial large subunit ribosomal RNA
Source: RNAcentral